This 228-nucleotide ribosomal RNA is filed under the name uncultured bacterium. RNAcentral's name for it is "partial 16S ribosomal RNA". It matches the Rfam family "Bacterial small subunit ribosomal RNA", at positions 104 to 334 of the family's 1533-position model. The record is from RNAcentral.
CGGGGUGAGUAAUGUCUGGGAAACUGCCUGAUGAGGGGGAUAACUGCUGGAAACGGUAGCUAAUACCGCAUAACGUCGCAAGACCAAAGAGGGGGACCUUCGGGCCUCUUGCCAUCGGAUGUGCCCAGAUGGGAUUAGCUAGUAGGUGGGGUAACGGCUCACCUAGGCGACGAUCCCUAGCUGGUCUGAGAGGAUGACCAGCCACACUGGAACUGAGACACGGUCCAG